RNAcentral lists this unclassified non-coding RNA (223 nucleotides) under Hevea brasiliensis (rubber tree). The record is from RNAcentral. Lineage: Eukaryota; Viridiplantae; Streptophyta; Magnoliopsida; Malpighiales; Euphorbiaceae.
ACAGGAAAAACCUCCCUCAGCAAUAGCAUUACGGACCUGAAUCUUAAUAUUGCCAACAUCGAUAUAACGGCCUUCAAGCCCUGCUGAUUCUUUUUGUGCAAAGGGUUUGAACCUCCACAUAGUUGGUAUAAAGAAGACAAGAAAAGCACUUUUAGAAUCUGAUUGAUUGGGGAAGCCAAAAAAGGAGAGAUAAACUCAAAGUAUAAGCUAAUUAGAAUGAAGA